Molecule: long non-coding RNA, 813 nt
Filed under: Nicotiana tabacum (common tobacco)
Lineage: Eukaryota; Viridiplantae; Streptophyta; Magnoliopsida; Solanales; Solanaceae
Description: long non-coding RNA (NTAB_LNC006440)
Source: RNAcentral
AAAAACCUAACUUCUAACUAGCUCCAAACCUUACAGAUCUGCUAGUCUCAUUUUACAGCUGAAAGUGUUUUCCUGAUUUAGGCUCAUGACAAGCAUGAUGUUUUGGAAUUGAUCCUUUCAGGGCUAGCUGGAUAGCUUCUUUUGCAUGGGAAAUAGAGUUGAUAAAUAUAUCGUAUAUACUUUAUGAUGGUCAAAUGCUUUCGUACUUUUUGAGACCUUAGAUCCAUAUGUCCUAGUAAGGAAAAUUGUGUUGAGAUUACUACUGUUAUCUUUAGAUUGUGGCUUCGCUUUGGAGAGGCAUGUGUUUGGCUUCGCAUUUCUCUAAGGUUUAUGCUAAGAGACAAGCUAUUUUCUCUUGUUUGACAUGCAUACCUGUUGGGAACGCCGGGGUUUGCAAAUCUUGUAUCAUUUCUUGCCAUUAUGGUCAUGACUCAUGAGGUAUUACUAAUCUAAGACUUGAAUUUUCCUUUAUAUAAUUGAUUAAUGAUUAUGUUAAUGAUCUUAGGCUGCUGAUGAAGCGUGAUGCUAGCGAAGAUGUUGAAAACACGGGGAAUUCAUCUAACCACAAUUGCAAAGGUUCAUACUGCACAUGUGGCUGGCCAUAUCCUGAUCCAAGUGGCCAUUGCAAUAGAAAAUGACAUUUUGGAAAUAUAACAAUGUUUUGUUACAAAAAAUUCUAAAAAAGGAAUACAAGCGUAAUAUCUCAAACCACGAGGGAGGUUAGUUCUAUAAAGAUAAACAUGAUUUGGAUUUUCCCUAAUUAUAACUUAUAUUAUGAACUUUAUUUUGAAAAGGACAAAGGUCCAAAUAUGC